GUGGGGAAUUUUGGACAAUGGGCGCAAGCCUGAUCCAGCAAUGCCGCGUGCAGGAAGAAGGCCUUCGGGUUGUAAACUGCUUUUGUACGGAACGAAAAGGCUCUGGUUAAUACCUGGGGCUCAUGACGGUACCGUAAGAAUAAGCACCGGCUAACUACGUGCCAGCAGCCGCGGUAAUACGUAGGGUGCAAGCGUUAAUCGGAAUUACUGGGCGUAAAGCGUGCGCAGGCGGUUUUGUAAGACAGAGGUGAAAUCCCCGGGCUCAACCUGGGAAUUGCCUUUGUGACUACAAGGCUGGAGUGCGGCAGAGGGGGAUGGAAUUCCGCGUGUAGCAGUGAAAUGCGUAGAUAUGCGGAGGAACACCGAUGGCGAAGGCAAUCCCCUGGGCCUGCACUGACGCUCAUGCACGAAAGCGUGGGGAGCAAACAGGAUUAGAAACCCCUGUAGUCC
Molecule: ribosomal RNA, 450 nt
Filed under: uncultured bacterium
Lineage: Bacteria
Description: partial 16S ribosomal RNA
Rfam family: Bacterial small subunit ribosomal RNA
Source: RNAcentral